GACGAACGCUGGCGGCGCGCUUAACACAUGCAAGUCGAACGGAAAGGCCUGCUUUCCCUUGUGGAUUGCGGGUACUCGAGUGGCGAACGGGUGAGUAACACGUGAGUGAUCUGCCCCCAACUUGGGUAUAAGCCUGGGAAACUGGGUCUAAUUCCCGAUAGGACUGCAGGGUGGUGCCUGUGGUGGAAAACGAUUUUCUAGUGGUUGGGGAUGAGCUCGCGGCCUAUCAGCUUGUUGGUGGGGUAAUGGCCUACCAAGGCGGCGACGGGUAGCCGGCCUGGGAGGGUGGACGGCCACAUUGGGACUGAGAUACGGCCCAGACUCCUACGGGAGGCAGCCGUGGGGAAUAUUGCACAAUGGGCGGAAGCCUGAUGCAGCGACGCCGCGUGGGGGAUGACGGCCUUCGGGUUGUAAACUCCUUUCGACCGCGAGGAAGCCACCUGGUUGGAAGGGUGGUGACGGUAGUGGUAGAAGAAGCACCGGCUAACUACGUG
Molecule: ribosomal RNA, 494 nt
Filed under: uncultured bacterium
Lineage: Bacteria
Description: partial 16S ribosomal RNA
Rfam family: Bacterial small subunit ribosomal RNA
Source: RNAcentral